GGAGUCGGCCAGACAGUCGCGUCAUCCCCUCGCAUUUCGGUGCGGCGGGAUGCCGAGGAAAGUCCGGGCUCCAUAGGGCAAGGUGCCAGGUAACGCCUGGGCGGCGCGAGCCGACGGACUAGUGCAACAGAAAGAUACCGCCUACGUCUGCGCAAGCAGGCCGGUAAGGGUGAAAUGGUGCGGUAAGAGCGCACCGCGAGUCCGGUAACGGACCGGCACGGCAAACCCCACCUGGAGCAAGACCAAAUAGGGACCUCAUGGCGCGGCCCGCGUCGGGUCCGGGUAGGUUGCUUGAGCGUACCGGUGACGGUGCGCCUAGAAGAAUGACUGUCCACGACAGAACCCGGCUUAUCGGCCGGCUCCGCCA
This 367-nucleotide RNase P RNA is filed under the name Xanthomonas sacchari. RNAcentral describes it as "RNase P class A". It matches the Rfam family "Bacterial RNase P class A". Rfam says of the family: Ribonuclease P (RNase P) is a ubiquitous endoribonuclease, found in archaea, bacteria and eukarya as well as chloroplasts and mitochondria. Its best characterised activity is the generation of mature 5'-ends of tRNAs by cleaving the 5'-leader elements of precursor-tRNAs. Cellular RNase Ps are ribonucleoproteins. RNAcentral also lists the same sequence under 1 other name. The record is from RNAcentral. Lineage: Bacteria; Pseudomonadati; Pseudomonadota; Gammaproteobacteria; Lysobacterales; Lysobacteraceae.